UACGUAGGGUGCGAGCGUUGUCCGGAAUUAUUGGGCGUAAAGAGCUCGUAGGCGGUUUGUUGCGUCGGCCGUGAAAACCUGCAGCUUAACUGUGGGCCUGCGGCCGAUACGGGCAGACUUGAGUUCGGUAGGGGAGACUGGAAUUCCUGGUGUAGCGGUGAAAUGCGCAGAUAUCAGGAGGAACACCCGUAGCGAAGGCGGCACUCUGGGCCGAUACUGACACUGAGGAGCGAAAGCGUGGGGAGCGAACAGG
RNAcentral lists this ribosomal RNA (253 nucleotides) under uncultured bacterium. RNAcentral's name for it is "partial 16S ribosomal RNA". It matches the Rfam family "Bacterial small subunit ribosomal RNA", at positions 524 to 776 of the family's 1533-position model. The record is from RNAcentral.